This is a long non-coding RNA of Osmerus eperlanus (European smelt), 430 nucleotides long. RefSeq lists it as uncharacterized. The record is from RefSeq and is a predicted model, not a curated record. NCBI's taxonomy places the organism in Eukaryota, Metazoa, Chordata, Actinopteri, Osmeriformes, Osmeridae. The transcript is spliced from 3 exons.
UAGACACAGAAAACCUUAUGUUCCUACAUCAAACAUGAUAACAACCAGUAGCAUGUACAAAACUUCAGACAAAUUUGGCCGGAUUAUGUAGCAGCCGGUGAUGUGCAGUUACGUGAGUUGUAUUAUGGCAGACCAUUAGAGUUUACAAAGAGUGCACAACCUUGGACACCUUGGCUCCUGGAAGACGUAAUCAUGUAGCAGGCUGUGACCAGAGAGGCCUGCUCCACAGUAGUUGACCCACUGGGUUAGAACCAGACAAGCUCACUGCGGUAAAGCCUCUUAGCGCAGGGUAACGUGAUCUGACACAAGCUGGUUUGGGAAAGGUGGACAGGGUUUCCCCCAGCUGUGUCUUCUAUCUACUACAGUCACAUGGCACUGCUUUAAAGUGUUGUCUAUUGCCACAAUCAGCUCCCUUCAUGACUAAUGCUAC